RNAcentral lists this long non-coding RNA (216 nucleotides) under Carica papaya (papaya). Its description in RNAcentral is "long non-coding RNA (CPAP_LNC013658)". Lineage: Eukaryota; Viridiplantae; Streptophyta; Magnoliopsida; Brassicales; Caricaceae. The record is from RNAcentral.
UGAUACAUUGCUAACCAUUUCAUUCUUGGAAAUACAUCAGGGUCCCCCGUGUUAAUCUCUAUCCGGUCCAUCAUGGGUGAAACUCUAUCUCAAGGGAGAGAGGUCAGAUAUUGUUGGGGAGGACUGGGUGGCCCUGUAACAGUGCUGGAAGAUAUGGUGGGGGCUCUGAAUUGUAUUGUGACAGUGUUGAAUGAUACAACGGAGGAGUAGAAUUAC